AUAAUGUGCUGUAGUAUAAUGUGUUGUAUUAUAGUGUAUUGUAGAAUAAUGUAUUGUAGUAUAAUGUAUUGUAGUAUAAUGUAUUGUAGUAUAAUGUGCUGUAGUAUAAUGUGCUGUAGUAUAAUGUAUUGUAGUAUAAUGUAUUAUAGUAUAAUGUAUUGUAGUAUAAUGUAUUGUAGAAUAAUGUAUUGUAGUAUAAUGUGCUGUAGUAUAAUGCAAUGUAUUGUAGUAUAAUGUGUUGUAUUAUAGUGUAUUGUAGAAUAAUGUAUUGUAGUAUAAUGUAUUGUAGUAUAAUGUAUUGUAGUAUAAUGUGCUGUAGUAUAAUGUGCUGUAGUAUAAUGUAUUGUAGUAUAAUGUAUUAUAGUAUAAUGUAUUGUAGUAUAAUGUAUUGUAGUAUAAUGUAUUGUAGUAUAAUGUGCUGUAGUAUAAUGUAAUGUAUUGUAGUAUAAUGUAUUAUAGUAUAAUGUAUUGUAGUAUAAUGUAUUGUAGUAUAAUGUAUUGUAGUAUAAUGUGCUGUAGUAUAAUGUAAUGUAUUGUCUAAAAAAUUGUCUCUUUCUGUUCCAUUUUAGACAAACAGCCCUUCACAUUCAGGGCUUUCCCCAACACCAGGUCGGUCUGUCUGUCUGUCUGUCGGCCUCCCUCCCUCUGUCUGUCUGUCAGCCUCCCUCCCUCCGUCCGUCCGUCCGUCUGUCUGUCUGUCUGUCUGUCUGUCGGUCUGGUCUGUCUGUCUGUCUGUGUAUUUACACCAUUAUUCUCAUGUAACUAAAUUAUAUAUACUCAUUAACCAGUCUAAUGACCUGUAUAUAUUCAUUAACCUGUCUAAUGGCCUGUAUAUAUUCAUUAACCAGUCUAAUGAUCUGUAUAUAUUCAUUAACCAGUCUAAUGAUCUGUAUAUAUUCAUUAACCAGUCUAAUGAUAUGUAUAUAUUCAUUAACCAGUCUAAUGACCUGUAUAUAUUCAUUAACCAGUCUAAUGAUCUGUAUAUAUACUCAUUAACCAGUCUAAUGGCCUGUAUAUAUUCAUUAACCUGUCUAAUGGUCUGUAUAUAUUCAUUAACCUGUCUAAUGGCCUGUAUAUAUUCAUUAACCAGUCUAAUGGUCUGUAUAUAUUCAUUAACCUGUCUAAUGGUCUGUAUAUAUUCAUUAACCUGUCUAAUGGCCUGUAUAUAUUCAUUAACCAGUCUAAUGGUCUGUAUAUACUCAUUAACUAGUCUAAUGUCCUGUAUAUAUUCAUUAACCUGUCUAAUGGUCUGUAUAUAUUCAUUAACCAGUCUAUUAACCAGUCUAAUGGCCUGUAUAUAUUCAUUAACCAGUCUAUUAACCAGUCUAAUGACCUGUAUAUAUUCAUUAACCUGUCUAAUGACCUGUAUAUAUUCAUUAACCAGUCUAAUGGCCUGUAUAUAUUCAUUAACCAGUCUAAUGGCCUGUAUAUAUUCAUUAACCAGUCUAAUGGCCUGUAUAUAUUCAUUAACCUGUCUAAUGGCCUGUAUAUAUUCAUUAACCAGUCUAAUGGCCUGUAUAUAUUCAUUAACCAGUCUAAUGGCCUGUAUAUAUUCAUUAACCAGUCUAAUGGCCUGUAUAUAUUCAUUAACCAGUCUAAUGACCUGUAUAUAUUCAUUAACCAGUCUAAUGUCCUGUAUAUAUUCAUUAACCAGUCUAAUGACCUGUAUAUAUUCAUUAACCAGUCUAAUGGUCUGUAUAUAUUCAUGA
Long non-coding RNA from Oncorhynchus mykiss (rainbow trout), 1709 nucleotides. The record is from Ensembl. NCBI's taxonomy places the organism in Eukaryota, Metazoa, Chordata, Actinopteri, Salmoniformes, Salmonidae.